GCCAGGGGAAUUUUUAAAUAUUAUAACUUCUGGUUAUUUGUAUAAAUUUUUAUAUUUUCCUCCAAAAAUAGUAUAAAGUGAAGGAACAUUGUUAAGCAAGAUGUUAAAUUUCGUAUUUUUGAAAUGCACCUAAACAAGUAAGCCUUAGAUUGUAUUAAUAGUGAGGAUUGACACCAUUUCCUCAACAGACAGUUGGAGGAGUAUAAUUGACCCCUGUGUUUUUGACUGCAGUUUUAACUGCAUUUACCAAUUUCUUUUGGCAUUGUUCAGUGUGUGAAAUAGGAGUAGAAAAAUGAUAAGGCCCUAGUCAUAGAAUUCUCAAUUUUUUUAAUGCUUUCUGUCAUCUCAUAGUUGAAUAAUCUUUCAAGGAACAUUUUGGAGUUCAACUUCAGACUUUUAUAUAGUGAGCCUUUUCAUGAUAUUUAUUGUGUCAGUGUUGAAGAUACAGUGAUCUUUUGGGAAUUCUGUAUAAUAAUAAAGAGUAAUGACACUGAAGGGUGAAGUGACUGAGUCUAGGGUUAGAUAAAAGCAGAAAGGAUGGGGGAAAUGAAAAGUGAGAAACUUGGCUGAGAUGGAUGGAGGAAUUUAAAGGUUUGGUAAUAAAUGCAUUUGUUGUGGUCAUAGGUGUUUAUCAAGAGGUUUGUCAGCACAGUCUUUUGGCAGAGAGUUGGGGAAACAAAACUGUAGGGACUCAGUAAUUCAGGAAUCGGGGCAAAGUCUGCACUCAGUGUGUGACCAUGCAGGUUAAAGUAGCAGUAAGGUGUAUGGCCCAUCCUAGGUGGAAACUGGACUUGGGGGAGGAGUGGAUGGGAAGAAGCCUAAAUGAAGCAGGAUCCUCAAGGUGUUUCUAAAGAAAUCCAAAUACAAUGCUUAAAGCCUUUGUCUCAGUAUUUUAUAAAGGGAGGAUAUUUUUUAAGCUGUCUGUUAUAAUCCACUUGGUGAUUAUGGCCUCUUUCCUUGUACCUUUAAGUCGGGAAUGCCAUUUGUGACCCCAUUCUGAAUGAAAGAAGGGUGACUAAGUAUAGGCCAGACAACUAACAUCACAAUAGGGAGCACCAGGCAAGAAAAAACAGGAGUUAACUGCUCCCUGUAUUUGGAGAGUAUUACAUCAAGCACUAAGUGUUUCAUAUUGUAAUGUUGAUAGAAGACAUGUUCACCCAUGGGUAUUUUUGAUUUUAGUAAUUCUCUAGGUAGGUCCUCUCCAAAGUUAUUUUAUGUCAUUCUUUUAAAAUAUUUUUGCGUACGUUCUCACGUGUCCAUGCAAGAGCACGUGUACAUUUUAUCAACAAAUAUGCAUCUAUUGGGGAUCUACUAAAAAUUUUGUUGGUGGGGUGCAUGAUCAAACAUGUUUAGAGACUAUUUCUCUAGAUUAUCACUAAAGUAGAUGAGUGGUUGUUUGUUCUCCCAAGAAUAACUCGUGAUUAUUAUGAUCUUUAAGUGAUGUCUAAAGAUGAGAAGCUGUUGAGGCAGUCUAAAGAGGGUUGUCUUGUCUAAUUUUAGCUUAUCUGCUGAAGUCCUUGUUUGUAAAAUUAAGACAUCUUUUACAGUCAACAGAUACCCCAAAUUAAGUGUUAUGCCAAUUCAAAGUCCAUGUACUCCUAUGUUUUAAACUAUGUUGAAAUUCAAAUUUUAUGUUUUUAGAAAUUUUCUUUUUAAACGUUAGGGCUCUUGUAACAUUUCCUUUGUUUACAUGGUUGUAAAAGAACUGAGGUGUUGUAGCUGUACGUCGGGGAUUGAAUUAGUUUCAGCAAUUGCGAUUCAACUAGAAGUCCCCUGUAUCUUUUCCCUCUUGUUCUGAGCAAUCCCUACAUUUUUAGGAAGGAAAGACGACAAACAAAUUAGACUUUAUUUGAGAAGAUUCUAUAAAUGAGCAUAAACCUAAAAUGAUAACAUUUGACAAUUGUGCUAUAGACAGGAUUGAAUGCAUUUUCCGGUCUAGAUUUCUGGCAGUUUCAUCCCCUCAGGAGGCCAGGUGGAGUUGUAUUUCUUAUACAUUGCACUUGCCAGCCUUCAAGUUAUCAACACACAUUCUUAUUUGACCUCCCAGCAACGGGGUGAGAUUGGCAGGUUGGGUAUGUCAGUAUUUUUCAAUCUUCAUUUUAUGGGUAGGAAACUGAGGCUGAGGGAGUUUAAGUAAUUUGCCCCAAAGCCAAAUAGCUAGUAAAUAUUAAUUCAUAAUUUGGACGGAGGCCUUUCUGACCCCAGAACCCAAACUCUUAACUAUUGAUGUACUGUGGUGUAUGAUUUAUGUACCUUGUUUGGCCUUGUUGGAACAUGCAGGUCUUAACUUCUCAUGGCUAGUUAGCCAUCUUGGUCAUUUUCAGCCUUGAAACACUUUCAAACUCUCUGUGCCCACAAGGCAUAGAACUCUUAAAACUAGGCUUCUGUCUUCAGGAAGCAGUUGGGAUUUAGUGUAAAGAAUUCUAGUCUUGGACUCAGAAGACUGAAUUGGAAUCCAGGUCUGGAGCCACUACCAGCUUGUGACUUUGGACAAGUUGCCUAGUCUCUCUGAGCCCACCACUCCAUACGUAAAACUGGGGAUAAAAACCAGUCUGUUGUCAGGGUCAAACAUAAGAAAACAUCUAGCAAUGACUAGUUGGAUUCUUGGAAGUUGGGUACUCUACCAUGGAGGCAAAUUAAAUACAUAGUUUUCUGGGUUUCUUGAAAAGAUGAUGUCACUGUGAUUGUGUUUGGAGUUUCUUGAAGGUCCUUUUUUAGCCAUAUCUGCAAGAAAGGUACUUGGGUUUUUGAGAUGAUAUAGGAAGGAAAAUGAACUGCUCCCACUUCUUAAGGGUGAAACUACGGAUAACCCAGGCCUUGCAUAUUUCUUUUACAAACUUUCCUAAGUUGGGUCUUGUGGUUUUCAGAGCUAUUUUCUCAGUAAAGGAAAAAAGAAGGAAUCCUUCAGAUCUUUUGUCUAUAUUGGAGACACCUUAAGCUGAGAGACGGCAUGUCACUACCCAACGUGUAUAACAAUGCAGCGCCGUCCAACGCACGUUUGCAUCUAGUCUCGUGUUUAAUCGUCAGAACAACUCUGCUAUAUAAAGUAAGUCGCCUUUUCCCAGAGUUUGCAGUCCUUCAAGCCAUUUGCAUUUGGCCAUGCUUUUACAAGAGAUUCUCUAACAGCAGUUUUCAAACAGAACUCAGUGGUUCUCAAUCUCUUCUUAAUCUAGAUUGGUAUGAGUCCUUCCUUUACUGCAAAGAAAAGCAGCCUUUUAUAAAUUAAUUAGUCUGGAUUUGAGUUUCUUCUCUGAUGUAACCUGAUGCAACGUCUGCUUGAAUCGCUAAAAAUGUAAUUCAUUUCUUCUAGUCGGUCAUAAAUGAAUCAGUGACCACAGGUUAUUUUUAGUUUAAACUCAGGUCCCUUUUUCUAUGUGCAGAUAUCUUCAUCGAAUAGCUUGCUGCUGGGUUCUAUAGCGUUACUGCCUACCUCAAUGAAGUAGGUACUCAGCCAGCAAAGCUUCUUGCUCAUUUAUUUUGCAAUACUCUAGGAAACAGAGGGCCGCAUUCUUAAAAGAACCUCAGGAGACUUGUAGGCACAAUUCCUUUGACCCUUUCAGAAGUCUUGCAUCUUAAAACCCCUGUGUGGGUCAGGCCCUGCUUGGAGUUGUAUGUAUAAAUUAGUCAGUAUGUUCCUAUAAUGGUUAAGAUUAUGAUGUAAGAAUAAGAAUUUGGAACUAAUCAAAAUGAAGGUUAGGGGCCAGUGUUGUCAGACAGUUAGCCCUUGGGCUAGUGGUUGUGGCUGUAGAGUUAGACAUGGAGAGCUUAUGUAAUUUUGGAACAUGAGGUGAGGUGGCAGAGAAAGUCAAGUGGUGGUGAACAGAGAGGACAGCUGAAGUCUUUGGGAUAGCACACCGACUUCCGAGACCUCCGCAUUUACUUAGACGCCCAAAGAAAGUCGGAGGGGCAGAGAGUGGGCUUGAGGCCCAGGUUCUGGAGUCUGAGAGGUCCUGGUUGAAUCCAGCCCAUACGCUGCUGCCGGUGCCAAGAGGCAAGGCCCUUUAUCCUCUCCAUCCCAGGUUCUUUGGCUGUAAAAUGGAGAUGACAAUACAUCCAAUCUUCAGCUCUGAAAUUCAACCUUUGAAAAUAGGUUUUUUAAAAUCUGGGCUUGGCAAAAACGCUUUUGGCAGUAAGCCCUGAUCUGAAGAAGUCGUCUGCUUCCUACUUCUGUGUCUGUCUACACGUUUUGCUGCAGGAGUGUUAGCUUGGAUGAGCUCCAGUCCCUAUGGAAGGGAUCCAUACUAUACGGCACAUGCUCCAUAUUGACUUGCUAAAAUCUGAAAAAUGCUGAAUUGCAGAAACACAAGUGGC
RNAcentral lists this long non-coding RNA (4311 nucleotides) under Equus caballus (horse). Its description in RNAcentral is "lncRNA (ENSECAG00000057205.1)". The record is from RNAcentral. Lineage: Eukaryota; Metazoa; Chordata; Mammalia; Perissodactyla; Equidae.